This 250-nucleotide unclassified non-coding RNA is filed under the name Hevea brasiliensis (rubber tree). The record is from RNAcentral. Lineage: Eukaryota; Viridiplantae; Streptophyta; Magnoliopsida; Malpighiales; Euphorbiaceae.
GCCGGUCUCGCCCGUGAUGUUAGCGGCCCGCAUCGCCGCCUCGAGGUUGUUAUGGAUGAUGCUGAAUGCACCGGCAUAGGCAUCAUAGAUGCGGACCUGCUCCGCUGUGAGCUGGUGCUCGACCAGUUCGUAUUCGACACCCUCAUAGGACAGCGAGCGAGCGGCAUAGAGUCCAAGCGCCUUGAGGUCGCGCGCCAGCACUUCCAUCGCUGCAACCCCGCCCUCCUCGAUCGCCUCGACGAACUCGGCC